UUACGGUCAAAUCACGCUGAAACACCGGUUCUCGUUCGAUCACCGAAGUUAAGCCAGGUCAGUACUUAGAUGGGGGACCGCCUGGGAACACCUGGUACUGUAAG
Non-coding RNA from Acanthosepion pharaonis, 104 nucleotides. The record is from the annotation of a GenBank genome assembly. NCBI's taxonomy places the organism in Eukaryota, Metazoa, Mollusca, Cephalopoda, Sepiida, Sepiidae.